Molecule: small nucleolar RNA, 81 nt
Organism: Panthera leo (lion)
Lineage: Eukaryota; Metazoa; Chordata; Mammalia; Carnivora; Felidae
Gene: SNORD115
Rfam family: Small nucleolar RNA SNORD115
About the family: HBII-52 is a member of the C/D class of snoRNAs, which contain the C (UGAUGA) and D (CUGA) box motifs. HBII-52 is encoded in a tandemly repeated array with another C/D snoRNA, HBII-85, in the Prader-Willi syndrome (PWS) region of chromosome 15.
Source: Ensembl
AGGUAAAUGAUGAGAACUUAUAUUGUCUUGAAGAGAGCUAAUGACCUAAUAGUCACGUUCAGGAGAAUUACACUGGGGCCC